RNAcentral lists this ribosomal RNA (621 nucleotides) under uncultured bacterium. RNAcentral describes it as "bacterial SSU rRNA". The stretch from base 1 to 521 matches the Rfam family "Bacterial small subunit ribosomal RNA", at positions 338 to 873 of the family's 1533-position model. The record is from RNAcentral.
CCUACGGGAGGCAGCAGUGGGGAAUCUUGCGCAAUGGGCGAAAGCCUGACGCGGCCAUGCCGCGUGAAUGAUGAAGGUCUUAGGAUUGUAAAAUUCUUUCACCGAGGACGAUAAUGACGGUACUCGGAGAAGAAGCCCCGGCUAACUUCGUGCCAGCAGCCGCGGUAAUACGAAGGGGGCUAGCGUUGCUCGGAAUUACUGGGCGUAAAGGGAGCGUAGGCGGAUAGUUUAGUCAGAGGUGAAAGCCCAGGGCUCAACCUUGGAAUUGCCUUUGAUACUGGCUAUCUUGAGUACGGAAGAGGUAUGUGGAACUCCGAGUGUAGAGGUGAAAUUCGUAGAUAUUCGGAAGAACACCAGUGGCGAAGGCGACAUACUGGUCCGUUACUGACGCUGAGGCUCGAAAGCGUGGGGAGCAAACAGGAUUAGAUACCCUGGUAGUCCACGCUGUAAACGAUGAGUGCUAGUUGUCGGGCAUGCAUGCAUGUCGGUGACGCAGCUAACGACAUUAAGACACCUCCGCCGUCGGGGAGGUACGGUCGGCGAGAAGUUAAACUACUUAAAUUAGUAAGUUAGUUACGGCGUUGAGACGUGCCGACGGACGACCGACGAGGGGAGGUUAGG